GGACUUGCAGAUGUCUAAUGGGUGACUAGAACAGGGGGAAGAAUCUCAUAAUUUUUUGUUUUCAUCCUACAUCUGUCCUCUUUAUUGCCUUAACUUUUAGGUCAAUUUCUACUAACCUCUGCCUGUAGGCAUGGUUUCUGACUGGAGCUGUUCUCAGCUUGGAUGUUCGCUUCCUCUGUGUGCCCUCAUGGAUCCCGCAAAUCUGGAUCCACCAGAAGUAAUGGCAUCCCAGAUCUCUGCUGUCAGAUUGCCCAAGGAGUAUUUUAUCCAACAACAGGCAUCAAAUUGAUCAGGUCUGGAGACAAGGCAGACAACCACCAUGCUUGAUGAAGGCCUAAGUGAUACCAAGACGGAAGUGGUAAUUAAGGCUGAAGAGGACAUACCAAGUACAAUCAUGGCGCACUUUACAUACCAAAAUGAAAGACCCUGGAUGUAAAUGAAAUAACAACAAUUGUAAUUUACUAUGUAUCCAAGACUAUACUAAUGAAUUUAAUAUCUUGUUAAAUAUUUACAACACUCUCCCAACC
Molecule: non-coding RNA, 527 nt
Organism: Ictidomys tridecemlineatus (thirteen-lined ground squirrel)
Lineage: Eukaryota; Metazoa; Chordata; Mammalia; Rodentia; Sciuridae
Source: RefSeq, a predicted model, not a curated record